UUCAGUUUAAAAUAAUUCAGAUUCAAGUUUUCAAGAUGAAGAAAUGCGGAACUUCGAAUUCAGUUUUCUAAAAUUCAAUGUCAAAAAUUCAAACUCAAAAAUUCAGAUCUUACAGAAAGUAGGUCACAGGUCAUCCACAGGGAAGAGUAGAUGAUCUCAGAAAAGUCGAACAGAGCAUUUUGGCCAAUUGGGGACUGCGGAAGUUUUCCAGCGCGAACGUGGUGGUGGUUCAAGAGGUUGCCACUCUCUGACUCUGAUCAUGAAUCGCCCGGAGACUGGAUGAGAGAGCUGAAGCCACUGGUACAGUAGCUGAUCAUUGUAUGAACUGGACAUACAUGGAGGCUGUUCUCAUCGAGAGACAAUACAUAUCUCAGACACUCACCUAAUUUUGCAUUGCUUCAUUCCAUGCUUUCACACAACUUUCCUUGUCUUUUCAAUUUGAGUUAUAUUCAUAAAGCAAUUACUUCUGUACUUGUCAUAGUAACAUUUAAUGAAUGUAAUAUUUAUGUGAUCUACAGUAUCAUUUUUUGAGUAUAAUUUUAAACAGUAAACAUACUUAAAGAUAACAUGUUAUUUGUUAACCUGCAUGCCAUGUUACUAUUAAUACACAUCAGAGAACUGUCAUCAUUAAAAUGUUCAAAUGUUAAACAUUGUUUACACAAUGGAUCACUAUUCACUAUUCUUAAACAUGACAUGAUGAGGUUGUUUUUCAGUGCCUAUGGUCAAAGAACAGAUACAAUGUAUGCAAUGUAUGAUUAUGAUAUUCAUUAUUAUUAUAUUUAUUAUUAGUAGUUCUUUCUCAGAUUGUCUAAACCGUUAAGCUCCGUAUUUGACUGUUAACUCAAUGCAAUAAAGAAAAAUGUGUCCAUU
Long non-coding RNA from Carassius carassius (crucian carp), 870 nucleotides. RefSeq lists it as uncharacterized. NCBI's taxonomy places the organism in Eukaryota, Metazoa, Chordata, Actinopteri, Cypriniformes, Cyprinidae. The record is from RefSeq and is a predicted model, not a curated record. The transcript is spliced from 3 exons.